CGGGGCGUGGCGCAGACCGGUAGCGCACUCCGUUCGGGACGGAGGGGUCGAAGGUUCAAAUCCUUUCGCCCCGA
This 74-nucleotide transfer RNA is filed under the name Nitrospirota bacterium. RNAcentral's name for it is "Nitrospirae bacterium (groundwater metagenome) tRNA-Pro". It matches the Rfam family "tRNA". From Rfam's summary of the family: Transfer RNA (tRNA) molecules are approximately 80 nucleotides in length. Their secondary structure includes four short double-helical elements and three loops (D, anti-codon, and T loops). The record is from RNAcentral. Lineage: Bacteria; Pseudomonadati; Nitrospirota. RNAcentral also lists the same sequence under 1 other name.